Molecule: ribosomal RNA, 433 nt
Filed under: uncultured bacterium
Lineage: Bacteria
Description: partial 16S ribosomal RNA
Rfam family: Bacterial small subunit ribosomal RNA
Source: RNAcentral
AACGAACGCUGGCGGCAUGCCUAACACAUGCAAGUCGAACGAGACCUUCGGGUCUAGUGGCGCACGGGUGCGUAACGCGUGGGAACCUGCCCUUAGGUUCGGAAUAACUCCCCGAAAGGGGUGCUAAUACCGGAUAAUGUCUUCGGACCAAAGAUUUAUCGCCUUUGGAUGGGCCCGCGUUGGAUUAGCUAGUUGGUAGGGUAAAAGCCUACCACGGCGACGAUCCAUAGCUGGUCUGAGAGGAUGAUCAGCCACACUGGGACUGAGACACGGCCCAGACUCCUACGGGAGGCAGCAGUGGGGAAUAUUGGACAAUGGGCGAAAGCCUGAUCCAGCAAUGCCGCGUGUGUGAUGAAGGCCUUAGGGUUGUAAAGCUCUUUUACCCGGGAUGAUAAUGACAGUACCGGGAGAAUAAGCUCCGGCUAACUCCGUG